Brassica napus (rape) is the source of this 4900-nucleotide long non-coding RNA. RefSeq lists it as uncharacterized. NCBI's taxonomy places the organism in Eukaryota, Viridiplantae, Streptophyta, Magnoliopsida, Brassicales, Brassicaceae. The record is from RefSeq and is a predicted model, not a curated record. The transcript has 3 exons.
AAAUGCUUCCAUACAGUUUCACUACGUGAAAAUUUUGAAUUCUUGCAUUUCCGACAAGGUCAUAACAUCUUACUGCUUUCCUGCGUGAGCGGUGUAGAGCCCGCCUGGUACAUGAAUGUCUCUAGCCCGCUCAGAAAUGCAUUCGCCACUCUCCCUUCCGAAUCUUUAUGGGAAUACAUCCAACUCCUUAACUCAUAAAUAUUACCGCCAUCCGCCAUUUUUUUUUAAAAAAAUUGGGAAUUUUUGGGGGGAAUUUUUUUUUUUAGAAUUUUUUUGGGGAAUUUUUUUGGAAAUUUUUUUUGGGAAAUUUUUUUUCCUCAGAUUUUUUUUUCUUUGUUUUCGUUUGUGAGUUGUGAGAAAUGAAAUAUAUAUAGAAAAAUUUUCGAGUUUGGCAGGUGAAGAUAACAAGGAUUUUACUAGGAAUAUUUUACUAGGGUUUUACAUCUCUCUUACAUCUGCUUUACAACGAGUUUACAACGAAAUUAGGAAAUUCAAAGCGCAUUCAAUACACUUUUUCACCAAUAAAUAACGGUAACAUGUGUCGUCGUAAUAUCCUCAUAAAUUUACGACGAAUAUUGGUUGCCAUGUACCUUCGUCGUAAAUUUACAAGGUAUUUACGACAAAACAUUUUCAUUGUAAUUUUACGUCGUCUUUACGACGAAUUUCAGUUUCGUCGUAACAUUCUCGUAAACUACUUGUAAGUUUACGAAGAAAAUCUCGUUACGGAAACGUUUUCUUAUAGUGGUAUCAAAACAUUAAAUUUAUUUAAUAUUUUAUUUUAAUUCUAAAAAACCAAUAAAACUCAUUUUGUUAUUGACAGUUUAUCUAUAAUUAUAUUAAUAUAUGUGUAUAAAAUAUAAAAAAAACAUUAAAAAUUGGGAUCCCACAAAGUGGGGUUCCAUUCAAAUGUUUCGUACGUAUGCCCACAAGCCCGGCUCUCGGUAUUGUUUUUAACCACAAAAUCAUGGUCGAGUGGUACGGUGGGAUUAGAAAGAUAUUUAGCCUCAGGUUCGAAACAUACCAAAUUCAGAUUAACUCGUUUGUGUGAUCAUGAAAUAUGGGUAUGGAACUCCCAUUUCGAGCAACCGGGUCUAUCUGGUCCCGGUAGACAAACCACCAUGGAAUUAGUUGGUUGGGUUUCAGUCUGUCAGAUAUUCCUGGCUUAUAAAAAAAUACUCCCUUCGUUCCUUAAAAUUACAUAUUCUAGAGAAAAAUUUUGUUUCAAAAAGAUCCAUCUUUUAUAUUUUCAAUGCAUAUUUUAUUAACUAAUUGCAAACUUAAAAAAACUUAAUUUCACUAGUUAAAUUUUUAUUGUCUUAAAAUUAUGGAAAAAAGAUAAACGCAAAAACUAUGUAAAUUUAAUGUGUUUUAUUAAGAUGUGUAAAAAAUUUAGAAUAUAUAACUUUAAGGAACAGAGAGAGUAUUUUCUACGUAGGAACAAAAAUAUGUUAAAGCAAAGGUAAUAGACUAAUGGGGUUUAGUGGAAUUAACUUCUCCUAACUAUUAGAUUACCAAACCGGUUUGGUAUGUUGCCAAAUCAUAUGGCCACAUCAUAGAAACAAACCAACACGAGUUCUUUUUGUUUUCAAGAUUAAAUGUAUUUCUAUUUUAUAACUAACUUAUGAUAAAUGGAUGGAUCAUAUCUUUUAUACCUUUAUAUGUGAGACGUUAUCAUAUUUUUGUCUAUCUUAAGCACACAAUCCCAUAUUUUGCAACACUAGUUCUUCAUUUUUCACAUUGUGAUUUUCCGGCACUCUAAAUACUUUCACAGUCAUCUUCAAAGACAGUUACACACUAUUCAUAUCUAUUUCCCAUGCAUAGUAAAUGUCGCAUUCUUCGUUAGAUAAUUUGUACUUUAAGUGAAAUUCCAACACGUCAAGCCAAAUUAAAAAAUAUAGAAAACUAGUAUCACUGCAUUUUCUGGUCCGUAAUCUGCACUUGCUAAUACCAAUAACUAGUGGUGAAUCGAAGAUACUUAUUUAUUCGGCACACUAAAAUAGAAUAAUGGGAUUAGGAUAAAUAUAGACUCUUAUAUAUGUCUAAGGGAAUUUAGACUAAUCAGAACAUCAUUAUCCCAGCAAUCAUGAAAAGUUGCUUAAAUUUUUUUUUUUUCUAUUUGAAUAAAAAAAGAAAAAAAUUAAAAAGUGCACCAAUCGCGGACCGCCAUGUGUUGGUGGAGACCGCGACCAGUACAAACAACAAAAAAAACUGGAUGCUUAUUUGCAUGCGGAAGAGAUGUUGCUUGUGCUUUUGGUGGGGCCCCAGGCUAUAAGCAACCUUUUUUUAAAAGGGAUAAUGAUGCUCUCAUGUAUUUUCUAUUGCUAGUUAGGUUAUGCUAAAUAUGUAUUUUCUAUUGCUUAGUUAGGUUAUGCUAAAUAUGUUGUAUAUAUACACACCUUGGUUGAGAUUACACAAUUCCACAUACGAUGUUAUAUAAAAAAUCAAACAACUAAUAAAAUGGGAAUAUGAGUCCCAGUUAGGCCAUCCACGUAGGAUUGGAAAAUCAACCUAUCAGAAAGGUUGUCUUUGUCCACGUCACACACGGAAAAAAAAGUCUCCAAUUUCUUAUUUUUCUUCUAAAAUUAAUGUAUGUCAUUAAUUAAAUAUUAAAUACCUAAAAUUGAUGUAGUUCCCUUCAUAUUCCAAAGGAAUCGGGAUAGUAUAUCUGAGAAGGAGCAUUUUGAUUAUUAUCAUUCUUAUCAUUUUGGAUGUCCUCAAUGUCACUGGUAAGUCUUUCUCUCUCUCUCUCUCUCUCUCUCUUAAGCGACAGUUUCACCGGAGAAAAUUGAAAAGACCGAUUAAUUGAUUAAUUUUGUGUCCUUUUUCAUCCUGAGAGGACGAAGUUCUUCCGUCGAAUGCCGCUUCGAUUUGCGAAACUGCAUAUCUGACUCGAUCCAAGAAAAUCCGGAGCAGAGUCAUUGGAAACAUCACUCCCUGUUACGCUUCCUCUCGAUUCAUAAGCAGGUGUACAUGCAAAUCAUCAGCAAAUCCCUGAUACAGAUAUUUUAGGAGAGGCUGGUGUUACCGUCUACGCUCGAUGAUGUUGACGACAAGAAGACUCAUUUGUUGUUAAAAACAAAUAUUGGUUGUAACUCAGAUAAAAUGGAUAGUGGUUAGUGGAGAUGACACGUUAGAGCUACACGAGCGUCGAAAAUCUGAAGAAAAUUUCCACAGCCCAAGCUUCUGUCAAUUAUGGAGGUAACAGUGGUAGGUAUAUAUGCCAGAUGGCGUCAGCCUCUGAAACAUUAUCUACGAUACUUCAGUUUGUGCUGUAUAACAUAUAAUUUGAUUUCUCAUGUGCAGUAUCCUAUUCAGAUUCCAAACUACAGAAACACACUAUGUGAAAAGGUAUAUACUGAUGACUGGGUAUCUGUUACAUAAGAGUGAGGAUGUUUAACUCAUACAUAUUAGAUUCCUCGAAAUUCUUACUAUAUCUCGAUUAGGAAUAUUCCAAUAACAUUUGUGAGAUCAUGAAUGUUUUUAUCCGAUUGAGUCUUUCCUUGUAAUUUAACUAAGUUUUUGAAAUUUAUGUUAAUACAUGUGUUUGUUUUUUGCCUAACAAUCUAUUUCCCAAACAAAUUUUAAUUCCAUCUGAUCUAUUAAUUUCCUAAUAUGGUUUCAGGUUUUAGUUAGACAUGUUACUAGAGUCUGUGAAUACAGAAAUUAAGCCUGUGGAAGCUUUUUUGCAGACGAUCAGCAACAACACCAUCUCAUAAAGACACCAAUUAGUAUAAAAAAAAACACUUAUCAGGGAAAAAGUUACUUGAUCAUAUCCUUUGGUGCUAUUUAUAUGUGAUGAUUUAAUAGUGCUGAACGUUAUUUAUGAUGAUUUAUAUGUGCUGAACGAUACUUGAUCAAAAGUUACUUAAUGCAUUUAUAUGUGAUGAUUUAAUAGUGCUGAACGUAAGGUGCGUUGAGCGGAUGUGCGGGUAUCGUGGGCUUGACGUUAUGGAGUUUCUGAGAAGAAUUGUCAUAUCGCCUCAUCGGUGAUACUAACUCACUUGAAGAACACAGGACAAAGUGUCGCUCUGAUUUGAGGAAAGAAUGGCCUGUCUAUGCUAAGAAUCAUCACAAAUCACUGAGAUCACCUAAGUUUCUAUUUCAAGCAGUAGGACUCCAAAAUUCUAAGCACAAACGGUAGUUUUUUUACAAAUUUUCACUCCAAAUAACGUUAUCUAAGUCCUAAUUACCUACCUAAAUUUGGUUUGUCGAAAACCAUCGUUUCUUUGCUGCAUUUUAAGCUAUAUAGAAUAGUCCUUCAUAUAAAGGCCUGUUGAUUGCAAGUCUUUAAGAAAAAUGUGACAAAACAAAAACGGCCUAUUGAUUGUAAGUCUUUACGAAAAUAUGAAAAACAAAGAGAAUUUCUUGGAUUAUUUUAAAGAGAAGUUUGCAUAUGAUCAAUCUGGCAACUAAACAAAGACACUUACAACUUAUGAUAAAGAAAAUGAAUAUAGUAAAAUGAAAUCUAACAAAAAACUUAAGAAGCAAGCAAAUGUUGGUUAUAAAAAAUACUGCACUAAUACAAGAAGUAACGAGUUCCUAUUCUGAUGGCAAGUAUUACAUUUCCAUCAUUGCAUAUGUCAAUCUGGAAAACCAAGAAGACCAUGAAUAACCAAAAAGAAUUGUCACACUUUGAUCUACUACAACCUCUAAACAUCAAUUACAAAGAGAACUCCGCUUAUCACAUGAUGUGAGCAUUGAUCAUGAUUGUGGAGAUGAGUUUGGUUAUAAAUAUAAGUUAUUAAAUAUAUUAUUUAAAUUUGUAUAUUACACGUGCAUGCAUGCAUCUUCAUAGCACUAGAUACUAUAAUAGUUAAUAUCUCUAUAAUGUGUUAGAGAUAUUUAAUAAAAUAGCAAAGAAGAGAAGAGAACCCUAGAUAAAUAUAUUAUUUAUAUAAAU